This 1304-nucleotide long non-coding RNA is filed under the name Hordeum vulgare. RNAcentral describes it as "long non-coding RNA (HVUL_LNC017977)". The record is from RNAcentral. Lineage: Eukaryota; Viridiplantae; Streptophyta; Magnoliopsida; Poales; Poaceae.
UCCAGUGUCAGUGAGUUAUAUGAUCUCAUGGUCAUAGGAAUAAAUACUUUUUUUUCCACACGUAGAAAACAGUAGCAACAAAAUGACACGAUCAACAUGCUACGUCUAUUAGUUUGGGUCUAGUGCAUCACAUGAUUCCCCUGACUAUCCUUGACCAACUGGCUAGCCAACUAGAGGCUUGCUAGGGAAAAUGUUUUGUCUAUGUAUCCACACAUGUAUCUAAGUUUUCAUUCAAUACAAUUAUAGCAUGGAUAAUAAACGAUUAUCUUGAUACAGGAAUUAUAAUAAUAACUUAUUUAUCAUUGCCUCUAGGGCAUAAUUCCAACAAUUCCGAUGAUAGAUACAUCCGUUCGAGUGACAAGAAUUUCCGGACACAGGGAAUAGUAUAAUUUUCAAGUCUCAUAAGUUGCGCUUUGAGAAAGGAUAAAAUACACAGACUUGAUCUCUCCUCGAUCCAUGUUAAAGAAUUCCGGUUCAGCUGAUUCUCUCCUUAAUGCUUGUGUUUCGUACUUCCCUUAAGGAGUUGCCUUUUUCUUUAUAAAAAUAAGUGUACUGUUUUUUGUUCUACACAUAUCAUAUUGGUUUGAUUCCUGUGGGGCGGAAUAAAUCUUGUAUGUUUUAUAUGUGGGUUGAUACACCAAAGUCAUUUGCACAUCUUUAUGCCGGCAAGCUUUAUUAAUAUUAGUUGAUAGCAUGUGGAAUUUUGGAUAAUUGCUGCGCCUCACCUCGCACCACUCCAUGCUAGCUCGACAAUCAUGUUAUUGAACAAUGGAUAGAAACCGAGCUCAACAUUUCACUUGAGUUAAAAACGCCGAAGGUUUGGGAUUAUGAUGUGACGACUACGUCCAUAAUUUAUUAUGUCCAAAGCAGAUGGCAUGUGUUGAUAUGUAAUGGUGGUACAAUAAUGGAUGAAUCUCUACUGAACAUGAAAGUUAAGCUAUAACCUAUGGUAUGUUUCUGUGUAUUUUCUCAUACAAAUUUGCUCCUUCUCUUCUUUUAGAUUGUCGGACAGUACAAUGAUCUUCUUGAUGUUUAUUAUCAACUUAUAAGUUUAUUGUGACUCUGGUUUUGUGCUAAUGUAGUACCUAUAUAAGUCAUUUCCGCUAGGAAUCAAAGAGAAUUAAAUAUACGUUUCUGCUACUGUAUUAUACGCUCUGAACGUUAGGCACAAAGCUUCAUAAGUGCACUGAAGUGAAACAAUUUCUUGGUUAAGUUGUUCGGAUUUGUAACUUCUCUAGGCAUAAACUAAAUCUGGACACUUAUUUGUAUAGCGGUGAAGUUGUUUCAUGCCAUUGUAAUUUAUA